This 253-nucleotide ribosomal RNA is filed under the name uncultured bacterium. RNAcentral's name for it is "partial 16S ribosomal RNA". It matches the Rfam family "Bacterial small subunit ribosomal RNA", at positions 524 to 776 of the family's 1533-position model. The record is from RNAcentral.
UACGGAGGGGGCUAGCGUUGUUCGGAAUUACUGGGCGUAAAGCGUGCGUAGGCGGUUGUGCAAGACAGAUGUGAAAUCCCCGGGCUUAACCUGGGAACUGCAUUUGUGACUGCACGGCUAGAGUACGGUAGAGGGGGAUGGAAUUCCGCGUGUAGCAGUGAAAUGCGUAGAUAUGCGGAGGAACACCGAUGGCGAAGGCAGUCCCCUGGACCUGUACUGACGCUCAUGCACGAAAGCGUGGGGAGCAAACAGG